GCCCGAGUGGCGAAACUGGUAGACGCUGAGGACUUAAAAUCCUUUGGCCGAAAGGCCGUACGAGUUCAAGUCUCGUCUUGGGCA
Molecule: transfer RNA, 84 nt
Filed under: Fibrobacterota bacterium
Lineage: Bacteria; Pseudomonadati; Fibrobacterota
Description: Fibrobacteres bacterium (aquatic metagenome) tRNA-Leu
Rfam family: tRNA
About the family: Transfer RNA (tRNA) molecules are approximately 80 nucleotides in length. Their secondary structure includes four short double-helical elements and three loops (D, anti-codon, and T loops).
Source: RNAcentral